GACGAACGCUGGCGGCGUGCCUAAUACAUGCAAGUAGAAGCUAGUUGCGAACGGGUGAGUAACGCGUAGGAACCUGCCUCAUAGCGGGGGAUAACUAUUGGAAACGAUAGCUAAUACCGCAUACUGUGAGAUGGACCUGCGUUGUAUUAGCUAGUUGGUGGGGUAACGGCUCACCAAGGCGACGAUCCGUAGCUGGUUUGAGAGGACGACCAGCCACAAUGGGACGGAGACACGGCCCAGACUCCAACGGGAGGCAGCAGUGGGGAAUUUUGGACAAUGGGGGAAACCCUGAUCCAGCCAUCCCGCGUGUGCGAUGAAGGCCUUCGGGUUGUAAAGCACUUUUGGCAGGAAAGCGGUACCUGCAGAAUAAGUACCGGCUAACUACGUGCCAGCCGCCGCGGUAAUUC
Molecule: ribosomal RNA, 407 nt
Filed under: uncultured bacterium
Lineage: Bacteria
Description: partial 16S ribosomal RNA
Rfam family: Bacterial small subunit ribosomal RNA
Source: RNAcentral